Molecule: ribosomal RNA, 468 nt
Filed under: uncultured bacterium
Lineage: Bacteria
Description: partial 16S ribosomal RNA
Rfam family: Bacterial small subunit ribosomal RNA
Source: RNAcentral
GACGAACGCUGGCGGCGUGCUUAACACAUGCAAGUCGAACGGAAAGGCCCUGCUUUUGUGGGGUGCUCGAGUGGCGAACGGGUGAGUAACACGUGAGUAACCUGCCCUUGACUUUGGGAUAACUUCAGGAAACUGGGGCUAAUACCGGAUAGGAGCUCCUGCUGCAUGGUGGGGGUUGGAAAGUUUCGGCGGUUGGGGAUGGACUCGCGGCUUAUCAGCUUGUUGGUGGGGUAGUGGGUUACCAAGGCUUUGAAGGGUAGCCGGCCUGAGAGGGGGAGCGGCCACAUUGGGACUGAGAUACGGCCCAGACUCCUACGGGAGGCAGCAGUGGGGAAUAGUGCACAAUGGGCGGAAGCCUGAUGCAGCAACGCCGCGUGCGGGAUGACGGCCUUCGGGUUGUAAACCGCUUUCGCCUGUGACGAAGCGUUAGUGACGGUAAUGGGUAAAGAAGCACCGGCUAACUACGUG